UCCUCUCUUCUUCUUCAUCUUCAAUUUCAGAUCUAUUCUUCUGCAUCUCAAAUUAGCAGAGCACCUCCAAUUGGGUACUAGCUACUAUGAUUUGUUCACGGCACACUCUUCUUCUCAUCCUCCCUCUCCCUCAAUCCCUAAUUUUCAUAUUGUCUCUGAUGAAAUAGAAAUGGCACACUCGACUUGUCUUCACUCCAGAUCUGCUCGGUCGACAAAUCUCUCUCUCUCUCUCUCUCCCCCCCCUCCUCCCUCCCUCCCUCCCUCACUGGCUCUCUCUCCGCCCCUCCCUCUCCCUUUCUCUUUUCUCAGUUUUCUCAAAUGUCAAGACCAGCUCAACUGCCAAGAUUGAGAGGUGUAGUUCUGCAUAGUGUUAUACUUUCUGGUCUUCGCGUACUCUGCCAUGUAAGUUCACACUUUGCUUCGACAUCUACAGGGUAAGUUCCUAUCCUCCUUGCUUGCAAUGGUUUCAUGCCGGCCAACCAAAUAAUCUACUUGGUGUUUUAUGUUGUUGCUAGUAUUAGGUAAAUAUAGCUCCCCUAAUCUUUCAUGUCUCUAUGUAUUAUGAAUAUCUCAGUUGCAAUUUUAUAUUAUCCAAAGCUCUAGUUUUGCAGAAUAUAAACAAAAUCCGAAAAGUAAAGUCCCCUGUGCUAGUGAUACAUGUAAGUAAUCCCUAAUAUUAUAUUUGAUAUCUUAGGAUUAAGGUAUACCUCUUUUUUGUCUUCCUUUUAGAUUAAGUAAUAGACGGGAGUAUUAGUAAAAAUUAACUGGUUCAAUUUGAUGAUUGGUGUCCAGGUCAAGGUGCCAAAAGCGUCAAGCAGGUGACUUUGUUAAAGCUAUUCCCAAAAGUACGUAUAAUGCCCGGUGAUUUUGAAUCACCCUUUUAGUGCCAGACUUACCAUACUACUAUGUUAAUUUAGGUUUUGAUCAGGAAUACACCAAAGGAAAAUAUCCAGCAGAAAAACUGGAAUAAAAAAUUCAAGAGCAUGUGAGGCUGGAUAGUAAAUGUUUCUCAUUUUUUCCCCUUAUUCUUCUUUUUUGCAUCUGAGAAUGCAGACUUGUUAUUUUAUAUAAUUUUUUUUUGUAUAUAAUCUUUUGCUUCUGCAUGGUUGAGAGGCAAGUGGCUCUACAGAUAAUUGCAAGCUGUUUUGCGAAUUCUUAACUUAUAUUUUGAUGCAUUGCUGCUAAGUACAAAAUCUGUAUGAAGAGCUUACGGCACUGGUUUAUACAGCAUAUGAAUUUUGAUUUCCGUGAUUUAUCUUUUAGGCAAGCAAUCGAGCAUUUCCUUGAAUCUCAAAAUCAGUUCUCUAUUUCAGAGUAUGCAUUGCAGAGACUUGCCCCUGAUGAAGAAUCUAGAGUCCAGGCUAAAGAUCUCUCUAGUGCUGUGACAUCAAAUAUAGACCUCUGACCUGACUCAUCAUUCUCCAAAUCUUACUUAUUGACUAACACAACAUACCAUGCAAUAUCUUCUUGCUUAUAAAUAUAUUUCCAAACUUCUAGGCAACCUUCAUUUGUUUUUACUUGGUCGUUCCCUGGUAACUGUCUUCCUCUAUUUUAGAUAUCAAAUCUUUUUAUCUUCUAUAAUUACUCACUUCAACUUCUUACUUUUGUGUUCAGGUGCAAAGUCCAUUCUUCUUCUAAAUAUUCAAAGCAGC
Molecule: long non-coding RNA, 1652 nt
Organism: Daucus carota subsp. sativus
Lineage: Eukaryota; Viridiplantae; Streptophyta; Magnoliopsida; Apiales; Apiaceae
Exons: 3
Source: RefSeq, a predicted model, not a curated record